RNAcentral lists this long non-coding RNA (1005 nucleotides) under Salmo salar (Atlantic salmon). RNAcentral's name for it is "lncRNA (ENSSSAG00000102022.1)". The record is from RNAcentral. Lineage: Eukaryota; Metazoa; Chordata; Actinopteri; Salmoniformes; Salmonidae.
AGAGAAAUUCAGACUAGAAUUGUAGAGGACAACCUGGUAUUUCACAAUGUGGAAAGCAUCAGCCUGACUACCAUUUCUCGGACUCUGACCAAACACAGAGUUGGAAUGAAACAGUUGUACACAGUUCCUUUUGAAAGGAACAGUGAGCGGGUCAAGGAACUCCGGCACCAAUACGUCCAGGUAUGGUGUCUAUCCAAUAUGUCUUGUUCUACAGUGAGUUUUACACUAUGCUACUCUACAUGUAGACAUGGAUUACAGUGCAUACAGUAGGACACUAUGCUACUCUACAUGUAAACAUGGGUUACAGUACAUACAGUAGGACACUAUGCUACUCUACAUGUAAACAUGGGUUACAGUACAUACAGUAGGACACUAUGCUACUCUACAUGUAAACAUGGGUUACAGUACAUACAGUAGGACACUAUGCUACUCUACAUGUUAACAUGGGUUACAGUACAUACAGUAGGACACUAUGCUACUCUACAUGUUAACAUGGGUUACAGUAGGACACUAUGCUACUCUACAUGUAAACAUGGAUUACAGUACAUACAGUAGGACACUAUGCUACUCUACAUGUUAACAUGGGUUACAGUACAUACAGUAGGACACUAUGCUACUCUACAUGUAAACAUGGGUUACAGUACAUACAGUAGGACAUACUGAAAAGCAUUUACACAUACUGUGUUUGAUUUCUUUCAGAGAGUCAUGGAGUUGGAGGCUAAUCAGACCCCAUGUGAAAUAAUUUAUGUAGACGAGGCAGGGUUUAACCUGGCAAAAACACAUCGGCGGGGAAGAAACGUUGUCGGGUAAAGGGCCACCGUUGAUGUGCCGGGUCAGAGAGGAGCAAAUAUCACAAUGUGUGCCGCAAUCUCGAGCGCUGGUUUGGUCCUGCAGAAAUGCCAGAUUGGUCCCUACAACAGUGAGAGCCUUCUUUUGUUUUUAGAUGACCUCCACCAACAACUGGUGCCAGAAGCAAAAAGAGAACAGCUGGGAGGAAACAUGAGG